This is a long non-coding RNA of Protopterus annectens (West African lungfish), 665 nucleotides long. RefSeq lists it as uncharacterized. The transcript is spliced from 3 exons. The record is from RefSeq and is a predicted model, not a curated record. NCBI's taxonomy places the organism in Eukaryota, Metazoa, Chordata, Ceratodontiformes, Protopteridae.
UAACUUCAUUUGAUCUGCUAUUUAAAAGAAGCAGAGGCAGAUGCUGAACAUAGUUAAAUAAUUCAGAAAGGUUAAUAACUAGAUACAGAAAGAAAUUGUUUUCAGAGACAAAAAUGAUGGAAGAGGUAUAUGCAACAUGAUUAUUUGAAAAGACAUUGUUGAACAGACCUUCUUAAUUCAGCUGUUGGUUGAACCCACAGUGACAUGGGCCAAAAAUGCUGACAAGAGUGGUUAAAGUAUGCAAACAUCUAUAGGAAACAAAGCAUGAAGAUGAAUGCAAGACAGAAAGCAUAACUCCACCACAGAUGUAACAAUGCAUCUGGGAGGUCUAAACAUCAUACACUUGAGAAGACUAGUAUCCUAAGUGCUGAGAAAAAAAAAGUGAAGCCUGGAUAUAAAACUAAUAGAGGCAAUCAAUGGAUGAAAAUGUAGACAGAAAAGCUCUAAAAUGCCACUUAUACCAUAGCAAACCAAUGGAAAAGAUGCAGGAAAUUGCAAAGGUGAAGAGCAAGACUGAAAUGGAUGAAACGGUUGUUAAAAAAACUCUAAAAUAUACCUCAAGACAUCUAGAAUACCCAUGUCUUCUCCUCCACAGUUAUUAGAGUGCAAUCUUGCACAUAUGAUGUGUUGAAUGAAAAUAAUUAAAAAUUGAAGAUAAUACAUAA